This 71-nucleotide transfer RNA is filed under the name Caecilia tentaculata. RNAcentral's name for it is "tRNA-Leu". It matches the Rfam family "tRNA". Rfam says of the family: Transfer RNA (tRNA) molecules are approximately 80 nucleotides in length. The record is from RNAcentral. Lineage: Eukaryota; Metazoa; Chordata; Amphibia; Gymnophiona; Caeciliidae.
UCUUUUAAAGGAUAGUAAUCAUCCAUUGGUCUUAGGCUCCAAUACCCCUGGUGCAAAUCCAUGUAAAAGCA